RNAcentral lists this ribosomal RNA (432 nucleotides) under uncultured Pelagibacteraceae bacterium. Its description in RNAcentral is "bacterial SSU rRNA". It matches the Rfam family "Bacterial small subunit ribosomal RNA", at positions 29 to 505 of the family's 1533-position model. Lineage: Bacteria; Pseudomonadati; Pseudomonadota; Alphaproteobacteria; Candidatus Pelagibacterales; Candidatus Pelagibacteraceae. The record is from RNAcentral.
AACGUACGCUGGCGGCACGCCUAACACAUGCAAGUCGAACGAAGUAGCAAUACUUAGUGGCAGACGGGUGAGUAACAUGUAGGUAUCUGCCCUUUGGCCUGGAAUAACACGAGGAAACUUGUGCUAAUACCGGAUAAGUCUUUACGGAGAAAGCUUUAUGCACCAUUGGAUGAGCCUGCACUUGAUUAGUUUGUUGGUGGGGUAAUGGCCUACCAAGACUGUGAUCAAUAGCUGAUUUGAGAGGAUGAUCAGCCACAUUGGGACUGAGACACGGCCCAAACUCCUACGGGAGGCAGCAGUGGGGAAUCUUGCACAAUGGAGGAAACUCUGAUGCAGCGAUGCCGCGUGAGUGAAGAAGGCCCUUGGGUUGUAAAGCUCUUUCGUCGGGGAAGAAAAUGACUGUACCCGAAUAAGAAGGUCCGGCUAACUUCG